Molecule: ribosomal RNA, 854 nt
Filed under: uncultured Bacteroides sp.
Lineage: Bacteria; Pseudomonadati; Bacteroidota; Bacteroidia; Bacteroidales; Bacteroidaceae
Description: bacterial SSU rRNA
Rfam family: Bacterial small subunit ribosomal RNA
Source: RNAcentral
GAGUGCAGACAGGGAUGCUGGAACUCGUGGUGUAGCGGUGAAAUGCUUAGAUAUCACGAUGAACUCCGAUCGCGAAGGCAGGUGUCCGGGCUGCAACUGACGCUGAGGCUCGAAAGUGUGGGUAUCAAACAGGAUUAGAUACCCUGGUAGUCCACACAGUAAACGAUGUAUACUCGCGGUUUGCGAUAUAAUGUAAGCCGCCAAGCGAAAGCAUUAAGUAUACCACCUGGGGAGUACGCCGGCAACGGUGAAACUCAAAGGAAUUGACGGGGGCCCGCACAAGCGGAGGAACAUGUGGUUUAAUUCGAUGAUACGCGAGGAACCUUACCCGGGCUUGAACUAAGAGUGACAGAUUUAGAGAUAGAUUUUUCUUCGGACACUCUUGGAGGUGCUGCAUGGUUGUCGUCAGCUCGUGCCGUGAGGUGUCGGCUUAAGUGCCAUAACGAGCGCAACCCUUUUCCUUGGUUGCCAUCAGGUAAUGCUGGGCACUCCAGGGAUACUGCCAUCGUAAGAUGUGAGGAAGGUGGGGAUGACGUCAAAUCAGCACGGCCCUUACGUCCGGGGCUACACACGUGUUACAAUGGGGGGUACAGAAGGUCGCUACCUGGUGACAGGAUGCUAAUCUCAAAAACCUCUCUCAGUUCGGAUCGGAGUCUGCAACCCGACUCCGUGAAGCUGGAUUCGCUAGUAAUCGCGCAUCAGCCAUGGCGCGGUGAAUACGUUCCCGGGCCUUGUACACACCGCCCGUCAAGCCAUGAAAGCCGGGGGUGCCUGAAAGCCGUGACCGGAAGGGUCGGCCUAGGGUAAAACUGGUGAUUGGGGCUAAGUCGUAACAAGGUAGCCGUACCGGAAGG